Ribosomal RNA from Salmonella enterica subsp. enterica serovar Typhimurium, 2992 nucleotides. It matches the Rfam family "Bacterial large subunit ribosomal RNA". Lineage: Bacteria; Pseudomonadati; Pseudomonadota; Gammaproteobacteria; Enterobacterales; Enterobacteriaceae. The record is from Rfam.
GGUUAAGCGACUAAGCGUACACGGUGGAUGCCCUGGCAGUCAGAGGCGAUGAAGGACGUGCUAAUCUGCGAUAAGCGCCGGUAAGGUGAUAUGAACCGUUAUAACCGGCGAUUUCCGAAUGGGGAAACCCAGUGUGAUUCGUCACACUAUCAUUAACUGAAUCCAUAGGUUAAUGAGGCGAACCGGGGGAACUGAAACAUCUAAGUACCCCGAGGAAAAGAAAUCAACCGAGAUUCCCCCAGUAGCGGCGAGCGAACGGGGAGGAGCCCAGAGCCUGAAUCAGCAUGUGUGUUAGUGGAAGCGUCUGGAAAGGCGCGCGAUACAGGGUGACAGCCCCGUACACAAAAGCGCAUGUGCUGUGAGCUCGAUGAGUAGGGCGGGACACGUGGUAUCCUGUCUGAAUAUGGGGGGACCAUCCUCCAAGGCUAAAUACUCCUGACUGACCGAUAGUGAACCAGUACCGUGAGGGAAAGGCGAAAAGAACCCCGGCGAGGGGAGUGAAAAAGAACCUGAAACCGUGUACGUACAAGCAGUGGGAGCACAGGUUUACCUGUGUGACUGCGUACCUUUUGUAUAAUGGGUCAGCGACUUAUAUUCUGUAGCAAGGUUAACCGUAUAGGGGAGCCGGAGGGAAACCGAGUCUUAAUUGGGCGUUAAGUUGCAGGGUAUAGACCCGAAACCCGGUGAUCUAGCCAUGGGCAGGUUGAAGGUUGGGUAACACUAACUGGAGGACCGAACCGACUAAUGUUGAAAAAUUAGCGGAUGACCUGUGGCUGGGGGUGAAAGGCCAAUCAAACCGGGAGAUAGCUGGUUCUCCCCGAAAGCUAUUUAGGUAGCGCCUCGUGAAUUCAUCUCCGGGGGUAGAGCACUGUUUCGGCUAGGGGGCCAUCCCGGCUUACCAACCCGAUGCAAACUGCGAAUACCGGAGAAUGUUAUCACGGGAGACACACGGCGGGUGCUAACGUCCGUCGUGAAGAGGGAAACAACCCAGACCGCCAGCUAAGGUCCCAAAGUCAUGGUUAAGUGGGAAACGAUGUGGGAAGGCCCAGACAGCCAGGAUGUUGGCUUAGAAGCAGCCAUCAUUUAAAGAAAGCGUAAUAGCUCACUGGUCGAGUCGGCCUGCGCGGAAGAUGUAACGGGGCUAAACCAUGCACCGAAGCUGCGGCAGCGAACGUAUCACCCAAGACAACUUUACGGAGUUGACGAUUGACGGAGCGAAGCGACGUCAAAGCGUUCAUUAAAGUCGAGUUGGCUUAGGGAUACGUUCGUUGGGUAGGGGAGCGUUCUGUAAGCCUGUGAAGGUGUGUCGUGAGGCAUGCUGGAGGUAUCAGAAGUGCGAAUGCUGACAUAAGUAACGAUAAAGCGGGUGAAAAGCCCGCUCGCCGGAAGACCAAGGGUUCCUGUCCAACGUUAAUCGGGGCAGGGUGAGUCGACCCCUAAGGCGAGGCCGAAAGGCGUAGUCGAUGGGAAACGGGUUAAUAUUCCCGUACUUGGUGUUACUGCGAAGGGGGGACGGAGAAGGCUAUGUUGGCCGGGCGACGGUUGUCCCGGUUUAAGCGUGUAGGUGUGUGUUCCAGGUAAAUCCGGUUCACUUUAACACUGAGGCGUGACGACGAGGCACUACGGUGCUGAAGCAACAAAUGCCCUGCUUCCAGGAAAAGCCUCUAAGCAUCAGGUAACACGAAAUCGUACCCCAAACCGACACAGGUGGUCAGGUAGAGAAUACCAAGGCGCUUGAGAGAACUCGGGUGAAGGAACUAGGCAAAAUGGUGCCGUAACUUCGGGAGAAGGCACGCUGACACGUAGGUGAAGUGAUUUACUCAUGGAGCUGAAGUCAGUCGAAGAUACCAGCUGGCUGCAACUGUUUAUUAAAAACACAGCACUGUGCAAACACGAAAGUGGACGUAUACGGUGUGACGCCUGCCCGGUGCCGGAAGGUUAAUUGAUGGGGUCAGCGUAAGCGAAGCUCCUGAUCGAAGCCCCGGUAAACGGCGGCCGUAACUAUAACGGUCCUAAGGUAGCGAAAUUCCUUGUCGGGUAAGUUCCGACCUGCACGAAUGGCGUAAUGAUGGCCAGGCUGUCUCCACCCGAGACUCAGUGAAAUUGAACUCGCUGUGAAGAUGCAGUGUACCCGCGGCAAGACGGAAAGACCCCGUGAACCUUUACUAUAGCUUGACACUGAACAUUGAGCCUUGAUGUGUAGGAUAGGUGGGAGGCUUUGAAGUGUGGACGCCAGUCUGCAUGGAGCCGACCUUGAAAUACCACCCUUUAAUGUUUGAUGUUCUAACGUGGACCCGUAAUCCGGGUUGCGGACAGUGUCUGGUGGGUAGUUUGACUGGGGCGGUCUCCUCCUAAAGAGUAACGGAGGAGCACGAAGGUUGGCUAAUCCUGGUCGGACAUCAGGAGGUUAGUGCAAUGGCAUAAGCCAGCUUGACUGCGAGCGUGACGGCGCGAGCAGGUGCGAAAGCAGGUCAUAGUGAUCCGGUGGUUCUGAAUGGAAGGGCCAUCGCUCAACGGAUAAAAGGUACUCCGGGGAUAACAGGCUGAUACCGCCCAAGAGUUCAUAUCGACGGCGGUGUUUGGCACCUCGAUGUCGGCUCAUCACAUCCUGGGGCUGAAGUAGGUCCCAAGGGUAUGGCUGUUCGCCAUUUAAAGUGGUACGCGAGCUGGGUUUAGAACGUCGUGAGACAGUUCGGUCCCUAUCUGCCGUGGGCGCUGGAGAACUGAGGGGGGCUGCUCCUAGUACGAGAGGACCGGAGUGGACGCAUCACUGGUGUUCGGGUUGUCAUGCCAAUGGCACUGCCCGGUAGCUAAAUGCGGAAGAGAUAAGUGCUGAAAGCAUCUAAGCACGAAACUUGCCCCGAGAUGAGUUCUCCCUGAGACUUAGAGUCUCCUGAAGGAACGUUGAAGACGACGACGUUGAUAGGCCGGGUGUGUAAGCGCAGCGAUGCGUUGAGCUAACCGGUACUAAUGAACCGUGAGGCUUAACCUU